This is a non-coding RNA of Paramuricea clavata, 1010 nucleotides long. The record is from the annotation of a GenBank genome assembly. Lineage: Eukaryota; Metazoa; Cnidaria; Anthozoa; Malacalcyonacea; Plexauridae.
CACAUAAUGAUAAAUUAUAAUACACAUGCAUGCAGUAAGAAAGUGUACAGAGGCCGUAUAGGAAGUAGCUUUCGAGCCAUUUAUGAUACGAUUCAAACUAUAUGGUUACUUGUGACUAAGUUUCAUUAUAUGUAUUCAUUGACUAUAUAGUGAGGUAUGAAUUCCGAUUCUGUAACAAUAUAUUCAUAUAGCUGUUUUGAAAUGUAUUAAUGAAGAUGGUUAUGAUGACUCAAAUGAAUAGUUUCCCGGCAUAUUUUUGAGGAAAUAAAUUUGAAAGUAGGAAUUCCAUAAUUAGUUUUUUCUUUUCGUCUCCCAAGAUUAAUUUUAGUAGCAUCAUCUAUAGUGUUACAAGUAUGUUGAUUAGCAGCUCGUAAGACAAAGGAUGAGAAGACUCAUGGAACAUUUGUUUUCAUAUUCAUAAUGACAUAAGCUUAUUGGUAAUGUAGGUUGGACCUACCAUUUUCUAUAAAUACUUGCAUCUAUACGGGUUUUCAAAAAUUCUCACGGUAUGAAUAAUAACGGUUAUAUUUUAUAUGGAGAUUUUUGAGGCAUCUCGCUCCAUGGAACUAACAAUUAAAUAUUUUUGUGGAAAAAUUCACAAAAAUCAUUCAACUUUUAGCAAAUUCUAUAUCGAACGAGGUAUACCCAAAAAUUUCAACAUUUCCCUAUACCCUACACUGACAUCACCCACUAUAGCCGUGUUUACACUAUGAGCCUAAGCCUGGCCUAACUUUGGACUAGAUUUUUGUAGUGUAAACGCACUUCGGCCUGUCCUAGGCCAGGAAAUCUGGGCCACCGGCCUGUUUGAUGGGCCCAGAUUUCCUGGCCUAGGCCAGGCCGAAGUGCGUUUACACUACAAAAAUCUAGUCCAAAGGUAGGCCCAGGCCAGGCUUAGGCUCGUACUGUAAACAUGGCUUAUAUAUAUAACUAGGGAUCCAAGGAUAGUGUGAAGUUUCAAACUGCAAGAACUAUAUAGGGUCGCCGACAACCUAGAAAAGCUUGAUGGCUUA